This 3478-nucleotide unclassified non-coding RNA is filed under the name Hevea brasiliensis (rubber tree). The record is from RNAcentral. Lineage: Eukaryota; Viridiplantae; Streptophyta; Magnoliopsida; Malpighiales; Euphorbiaceae.
AAAAAAAGUAUCAAAACAAAUUCGAUGAAGCACAAACUGUACACAGUCCUAACCAUAAAUCUGUCCUUUGUGUUUCAUAGACUACAACCUUUUAUACAGGAGAAAAAUGUUUCAAUUUGGAAUUGUAAACUAUUAAGUGGAAGUUAACAGUACAAAAAAAAUAUAUAGAUGUACAAAAUAGCUGUUAUUGAACGAAGAGAAAGUAAAAGGCAAAAUGAGAAGGCAUUUGCAGCUUCUGCACAUUUUGUUUGGGUUUCUAUGCCUAGCUGCACAUGAACAACAAACGAUUACUCUAUCCUUCACUCCAUAAUCGGAUACACCUUUAACUAAAACCAACAAUCUGUUCAUCUUCUGCGAAUAUACAACUACAUUUUCACCUAUGUUGAACUGUGCAGCUAAUGAGAGAGGCGUUUAGGAUGCAAAUUUUUCGUUACCAUGCUAUGCAACUGAGAGGGUCCCACAUUAGAUUGGUCCAUUUCUUGUAGACCAUCAUGCGUGUCGAAACAACUGGGAAUAGUCUCUGAUCUGCAAUGUAACUGCCCCAUCCCUUGUAUCCUUUGCUGAGUGAUGAAAUGAGCUUCAUGAAUACUUGCUAUUGCAUUUAAUUGUCCCAGCCUUUGCAUGCUAUGUUCAUUGCUAUAAUAAUCAUCACGGCUAGAAGCUAUGGAGUUUAACUGUCCCAUUCCCUGCACAAUUUGUUGAGGACCAAAAUAUCCAUCAAGGUUUGGAGCCCUUGAGUUUAGCUGUUCCAGUUGCUGCCAGCUUUCAUGCAUCCCAACGCUCAUGACAUCUGGCUCUGAAUGUACCUGUUUUUUCCUGGAAAUACUAUCCUUUUUAUUUGUCUUGGAUACACCAGUGGCAUGAUUCGCUUCUUCAUAGUCAUGAGGUCUGCCCGGAGAUGGUGAGUUUGGCUCUAUUACACAAUGAAUAGAAUUAUUCACAUUCUCACACUUUCUCAAUGCAUCUUCUAGUGCAGAAAAUGCAAUAUUGUAACUUUCUAAAGAUAAAGAACCUUCAUCACCCAAUUUAAAGGCCCGUCUACAUAGAUCAUUGUAGCGUUGAACCCUGGACUCAACCUUACCUGACUGUUCCCUACUGGUUUCUCUACUCUUCGCAUCCUUUGUCCAGCGUUUCAAAAUAUAUUGAGAUGGAAUACUGUGCACACCAGACAUUUGCAUCACAAUCAACACAUGUCUACAAAGGAAACCAUUGAACUCAAAUGAACGGCAUGAACAAGAAAAAUAAGAUGAUGUCCCCUUCCACACCACAAUGAAAUCUUCAUUCUCUUCAAAAUCUUGAACCUUGAAAGUUUUAGUUUCUCCAUCUUCAUUGUCCUUUCUAGGAUGACAAGCAACUACUCCCAAAACCUCAACCUGGAAUUUCUUAAAUAUUGCAUGUGUGUACAACGUUGCCAUUUGCUUCCCAAAAGGUGAUGGAGAUUUCAAUCCUGGUUGUUUAUGCCAACUUUCAAAGUCUGCUUUUGCUUCCUCUUCAAAUUUCCCUUGAAGAAUUGCUUUGUAUUGUUCUAAGAACUCUUUCAAUGUGGUCUUUCUUUGCAUGUGCUUGUCAAAGAAAGAGCUUAUACUGUCUGACCGUUGGGUUGUAGACAUACCUGCCAAAAAUUUGUCUCUCAUGUACAUCGGCAUCCAUUUUUGACGAUCUUCAUAUAAUGACUGAAACCAUAAAUCAUUUCUUAAAUUAAAUCUCUCAGCCAUUUUCCACCAUCUCUUCUCAAAUUGUUCAUUUGUCCAAGACUUAAAGAUACAUUUAUUAAAUUUAGUCAUGAAAUUUUCAUGCUGCCUUAUUACAUUACCAAGCUUCUCAGGAAUCUUGCUCAACAAAUGCCACAAGCAAAAACAAUGAUGAGAAUUAGGAAAGACCUCUGCAAUGGCUUGUUCCAGGGAUUUGUCUUGGUCAGUAAGUAUCACCCUUGGAGCAAGUCCUCCCAUUGCUCUAAGCCAUGCCCGCAUCAACCAAACAUAUGUUGAUUUGGUCUCAUCAGCCACUAACGCACAUCCAAGCAACAGACACUGGAAAUGAUGGUUUACACCAAUAAAGGGAGCAAAUGGAAGUUUGUAUUCGCUCUUAAUAUAUGUGGUGUCAAAAAUAAUAACAUCAUCAAAGUAGCCAUAAUCAAGCCUAGCUUUAGCGUCAACCCAAAAAACAUUUCUCAAACACUGUUCUUCAUUCAGAUCUAUUGCAUAGAAGAAGUUUGGAUUCUCAUCCUGCAUAUACCUAAAAUGCUCAAGCAUAACCUGAGCAUCUCCCUCAUCUAAAGCCAAAUGUUGUGUGCUGCCUGAUAUGUUUGUCAAACUACGCUUCUGAUUCUCUUGUUUCUUAUAUCCACCUGAUUGUCUAGACAUUGAAACAUACACUUUUUUGGUUCUUGCCCUAAUAGCAUGCAAUGCAUCAACAUUAUUACUACCUAGGCCUAUAUUCCUAUGACCACGAAAAAAAUAUGCCUGGUCUGGGUAAAUUGCAUGGUUGUGCUCCUUAAUGAAACUACGAACAACCCAUUUUCCAUCAUGCUGCCUCCUCUUUACAUGCAUGCAAGCUUUGCAAUCUGUUUUUGACCAAGAUCGAUUUAUUCUACCUCGUUUCCUCUUGACAGGAAUGCUUGUUGCGACAUCUGUAUCCAUAACUGGAUGUGCCAUUUCAGUCAUACUAGGUUCUCUCUUGGUUCCAUAUCUGGUGCACACAAACUUUGCAUCAAUAAAUUUUCCAGAUAUCCUUGAUCUACGGCUGGCUUUUAUUAUGGUGGCAAAUCCCACAGACUUGGCAUACUCUUUAUAGAAUGAAAAAGCUUCCUCCUUCGAUUCAAAUUCCAUUCCAUCAUGGGGCUCUAAAUCCUUUGCAGCAUUCAAGUUUAUUCCAUCUCCAACAUACACUUUGUGUGUACCAUCAAAAACUCUUCCACUGACAGUUGGUCUGUCCUUAUCAGUCCCAGCAACGUUACAGCAAUCCACAGCAACUCUAUUUCUGUCAUGCAAUCCACUAUCCACCAUAUCAGCAGUUACAUUAGGCCUACUGUCUUCCUUGUGACAUUCACCUGAAGGCUGUUCAAGAUCUAUGCCCAUGGAGAACAUUUAUUUUUUAAACAAGACUUAAUGCAUGUGUCCCCAAGUCACAACGUGAACAGAGAAGUUGGUGUUCGAAACCAGGAACAUGCCGAAUAACUGGUGAUGAAGGAAUUGGUAGAUUUGAACGAUUGUGAGUACCGGGUCACGUUGAAACAGCAGCAACUCUGUGCCGUUGAAGAAGAUGAAACGAACCUUGCUGAAGACGAAGGGCGUAAGGAAGCUUGUGUGUCACAGAGGAGGCGCUGAAGAUGGGUUUUGUGGGUAUGCGUCGGUGUGAGCUGGGUGUGGCGCUGCGUUUUGGAGGAGAUAGCUUCGUAAGGGAGGGCAGAGGAGCUGUGCCGUUGAGUGUCGGCUUUCGUGGGGUUAGGUGCUGCGUUUUGGUGCGGUAGAUGGUGUCG